Molecule: ribosomal RNA, 372 nt
Filed under: uncultured organism
Description: bacterial SSU rRNA
Rfam family: Bacterial small subunit ribosomal RNA
Source: RNAcentral
CGUAGGGUGCGAGCGUUAAUCGGAAUUACUGGGCGUAAAGCGUGCGCAGGCGGUUUGUUAAGAUAGGCGUGAAAUCCCCGGGCUCAACCGUGGGAACUGCGCUUAUGACUGGCAAGCUAGAGUACGGCAGAGGGGGUGGAAUUCCACGUGUAGCAGUGAAAUGCGUAGAGAUGUGGAGGAACACCAAUGGCGAAGGCAGCCCCCUGGGUCGAUACUGACGCUCAUGCACGAAAGCGUGGGUAGCAAACAGGAUUAGAUACCCUGGUAGUCCACGCCCUAAACGAUGUCAACUAGGUGUUGGGAGGGUAAAACCUUUUAGUACCGGAGCUAACGCGUGAAGUUGACCGCCUGGGGAGUACGGCCGCAAGGUUA